GAGUUUGAUCCUGGCUCAGGAUGAACGCUAGCGGCAGGCCUAACACAUGCAAGUCGAGGGGCAGCACAAAGAUAGUUUACUAUUUUGGUGGCGACCGGCGCACGGGUGAGUAACGCGUAUGCAACCUACCUUAUACAGGAGUAUAGCCCGAAGAAAUUCGGAUUAAUCCUCCAUAGUAUUUUCUAAUGGCAUCAUUUGGAAAAUUAAAGCUUCGGCGGUAUAAGAUGGGCAUGCGUCCUAUUAGCUAGAUGGUAAGGUAACGGCUUACCAUGGCAACGAUAGGUAGGGGGCCUGAGAGGGUGAUCCCCCACACUGGUACUGAGACACGGACCAGACUCCUACGGGAGGCAGCAGUGAGGAAUAUUGGGCAAUGGAGGCAACUCUGACCCAGCCAUGCCGCGUGCAGGAAGAAUGCCCUAUGGGUUGUAAACUGCUUUUAUUUAGGAAUAAACCCUUCUACGUGUAGAAGGCUGAAUGUACUAAACGAAUAAGCACCGGCUAACUCCGUGCCAGCAGCCGCGGUAAUACGGAGGGUGCAAGCGUUAUCCGGAAUCAUUGGGUUUAAAGGGUCCGCAGGCGGACGUAUAAGUCAGUGGUGAAAUCCUGCAGCUUAACUGCAGAACUGCCAUUGAUACUGUACGUCUUGAAUUCGGUCGAAGUGGGCGGAAUGUGUAGUGUAGCGGUGAAAUGCAUAGAUAUUACACAGAACACCGAUAGCGAAGGCAGCUCACUAGGCCUGGAUUGACGCUCAGGGACGAAAGCGUGGGGAUCAAACAGGAUUAGAUACCCUGGUAGUCCACGCUGUAAACGAUGAUUACUCGUUUUCGGCGAUAUACAGUCGGAGACUAAGCGAAAGUGAUAAGUAAUCCACCUGGGGAGUACGAUCGCAAGGUUGAAACUCAAAGGAAUUGACGG
RNAcentral lists this ribosomal RNA (915 nucleotides) under uncultured bacterium. RNAcentral's name for it is "bacterial SSU rRNA". It matches the Rfam family "Bacterial small subunit ribosomal RNA", at positions 9 to 916 of the family's 1533-position model. The record is from RNAcentral.